RNAcentral lists this ribosomal RNA (355 nucleotides) under uncultured Geobacillus sp. Its description in RNAcentral is "bacterial SSU rRNA". It matches the Rfam family "Bacterial small subunit ribosomal RNA", at positions 1027 to 1382 of the family's 1533-position model. The record is from RNAcentral. Lineage: Bacteria; Bacillati; Bacillota; Bacilli; Caryophanales; Anoxybacillaceae.
GAGGGUGACAGGUGGUGCAUGGUUGUCGUCAGCUCGUGUCGUGAGAUGUUGGGUUAAGUCCCGCAACGAGCGCAACCCUCGCCUCUAGUUGCCAGCAUUCGGUUGGGCACUCUAGAGGGACUGCCGGCGACAAGUCGGAGGAAGGUGGGGAUGACGUCAAAUCAUCAUGCCCCUUAUGACCUGGGCUACACACGUGCUACAAUGGGCGGUACAAAGGGCUGCGAACCCGCGAGGGGGAGCGAAUCCCAAAAAAGCCGCUCUCAGUUCGGAUUGCAGGCUGCAACUCGCCUGCAUGAAGCCGGAAUCGCUAGUAAUCGCGGAUCAGCAUGCCGCGGUGAAUACGUUCCCGGGCCUU